UACGUAGGGCGCGAGCGUUGUCCGGAAUUACUGGGCGUAAAGAGCUCGUAGGUGGUUUGUCGCGUUGUUCGUGAAAUCCCACGGCUUAACUGUGGGCGUGCGGGCGAUACGGGCAGACUGGAGUACUGCAGGGGAGACUGGAAUUCCUGGUGUAGCGGUGGAAUGCGCAGAUAUCAGGAGGAACACCGGUGGCGAAGGCGGGUCUCUGGGCAGUAACUGACGCUGAGGAGCGAAAGCGUGGGGAGCGAACAGG
Molecule: ribosomal RNA, 253 nt
Filed under: uncultured bacterium
Lineage: Bacteria
Description: partial 16S ribosomal RNA
Rfam family: Bacterial small subunit ribosomal RNA
Source: RNAcentral